GUCAUAGUGUUAUACAUAAAUAAUGUGUUUAAACAGUAGAAAAUAUGUUAAGUAAUGUGGUUUAAGGUGAUAUGAUGUGUGUGAAAUAAAAGGGGGGAGUGUCUUUGUGAGUAGGGGUUUGUUACAGGUAUGUAUGUAUAGUAGAAUGUCAUUGGCUCAUAGUUGUCUGUCAUAGGCCUGGAUUAAGUUGGGUUUUGCUGUUAGUUUUGUAGCACACUACUUUGUAAGAAAUAAUGGCUUUCAGUAGCCCUACUAAAAUACCACGUGUGGAGGGAGAAGAAUUUUUGAGAAUCAGAGAGAAGUUCUGUUUAUUAGCAUAUGCGGUGUUGGAUGAGACAGUGUGCAAAGGGGAUUUGCAGAAGGAUUUGACAGAGCUAGGAGUGAAGGUCAUGAGGAAAGUAUCUGCAAUGGAUGCAGAAAGAAAAUAUCUGCGUAAGGAGUUGGCAGACACAGUCUGCAGGUUGAAGAAUACAGAAAAGGAGCUGGAAGUGGCAAGGGCCUCCCUGGAUUUUCAGGGAGAUGAUAUUUUGGAAGAUGGCAGAGAAGAUGGGAGUGAAAUUGAAGACUUGGAUAUUGUGGAAGAAGUGAAUGUAGAUGAAUAAAGGGGAC
Long non-coding RNA from Cyprinus carpio carpio, 609 nucleotides. NCBI's taxonomy places the organism in Eukaryota, Metazoa, Chordata, Actinopteri, Cypriniformes, Cyprinidae. The record is from Ensembl.